UGUUCAGUUGAUUGAAUUUAGCCUUCGCCCUGACAGCCAGUGUGACAGACGUCGCGCGACAUUGUUUAGGUUGCUGCCAAUCAGGCUACUUUUGUUUUAUUGAUUAUAGCAGAAGGCAAAUUUGAUGGCAGUGUGCGGGCGGGGCAGGUAAAAUCCAACGGGAGAAUAGCCGUGGACUACACCUUGGGAAGUAAGCGAACGGUUUUUUUUUUUACAGUUAUUUGUUCAUCACGGAAGUGGAAAUAAUAAUUGGAAGAAUCUGUGACUGUUACCAUACCCCAGCAAGAACAAUGCUUCCACUAGUUGUUGGAUUUUGUAUAUUUUGCCUUCUAUCUGGCCCCCAGGAAGCUCAAGCCAUCUCAGAUAUUGCUAAGAGAGGUUGGUCCAAGGUGUUUCCAGUGGAGCAGCUGCCUGAGGAGAUAAAUGUCACCUCAGUUAAAUGGAAACACAACGGGAACAUAGCUGCAGAAUGGGAAGAAGGAGACGAGGGACCAACUUACUAUGGCAUCUUCAACUCCACGGCUACCCUGGAUAUGAAAACCUGGGCCCUGACCAUCUCAAACCUGCAGCCUGGCUUCAGCGGAAAGUAUUCCGUUGAGAUUAAUUACAAGGGUCCCACUAAUCUCUUGACCCUUACUGUAGUCGAUGCUGAUGCUGUUUAUAGGGUUAAAGGACAGUAUGUCACCCUAAAAGCAAAAGCACAGAAUGUACAGGGCCACAUUGCUCAGUGGACACUCAAUAACACUGUCAUUGCAGACAGAGAUGAAGAAACGCAUCAGACCGCAUACAAGAACAUGAAGUUUGACAAUGAAACUCUGUCUCUAACCAUCUCAGAUCUUCUAGCAAAUCACAGUGGCCUAUAUGCAUUCAAGUUGAAUAACGACAACAAAGGGAUAUAUCAACUUAUUGUUCGUGAUGCUAUGGUGGAGCUCAGGAUUACGAAACACUGCAACUCUACCAGCUGCACCCUAAACUGCACAGGGGUGAAUGAUGAAAACACUCAGGUCAGCUGGACUAAUAACAAAGGGGGAAAGAUGUUUGGUCCAGUUUGGGUUCUAGAGAAGAGUCCACACCUGGAUGUGAUCUACAACUGCUCCAGUGACUCAGGGAGCUGGAAGACUGAGAGUGUCUCAGAGACAGACUACUCAAUCUCAGGAAAUACAGAAUCUAACUGGAAAAAAAUACAGGGACCUGUUGUGGCUGGUCUUGUGCUUUUAGCAGUUGGAGUUGGAGUUGGUGUUGGUGUUGUACUGUACAAGAAAAGGAGAGCAAGAAAUACAAGGCUGCAUCAGCAGGAUCAAAAUCAAAAUGGAUUUGAGCUGUUACCAAACAACGUCCACCAAGAGGAAGAGGAAAAGGGAAAGGAAGAGUGUCCACUGAAUGAUCGAGGGACAGAGGGAAAUCCUAAAGAUGAAGUUAAAUUUGAAGAUUAAGAUUCUGUGGAGCUGUUUCCAUAAAAGCUGCAGGGGCGGCCCUUUGGACGCGGCAGAGAAGACGCACACAGGAUAAGAGGUCCCCACGGAGCGGCCGGACGGGCAGGCGAGCGGACUGGACCACGUCGGCGAAGGCGCCUCCCGACGGACUGGGAGGCGAGCGCGGGGCUAGGCCCAAGAUGUCCCAAGGAACCGGGAAUUGCGCGCUGGGUCUGAGGCCCCACAUCGGCGCUGCACCAAGCAAGGGGAGCAACCAUCUGCCAUGCCUAGGGCAUGUGAACUGAACCGAACGUAUAAACCCAACAUCUGGGAUGAGCCUCUUCACUCUUCUUAUGGGUUAUGGACUUCACCAGUGGACCAUGAAAUGUCAAUACAGUAAUUUCCUGUAUUAGCCGCAUUGUGUAUAACCUGCAGGACAGUGUUUCAUGCAAGUUAAAAAGAAACAAAACGAUUUACCAUAUAAACUGCCCCCAUGUAUUAACCUCGUAGCUGAAGAAAUUUAGCAAAAUCAAUGUAUAAACUGCGGCUAAUAGCGGGAAAUUACGAUAGGGAACAAUAUCCUUAAGCUGCAUCAGGGUGCUGUGUGUCUACGACUAUUCACUGUCUUAACUUUUGAGUAAUCCCCGCCCAAAACUUUUGUGAAGUUUACUUGUGACCCUGCUGGGGAUGGGAUAGUACAAGCACGACACUUUUGAAUAGUAUGCCUUCAACGGUUUAAUGUUCAGAUUGCAUACCUGACCUUUGGUAGCCUACAUCUGUCAUUUUCUAUCAUUUUCAAAACCUGCUUAAACCUUAGCGCAGCUAACUGCACCAGACUGCACACAUUGGAGCCUACAUUCAUGAAACAUCUCUGGAGUCUGUUAGCACUACCCUGCAUCCUGAGGCAUCUCUGAAAUAGCAGUUCAGUAAAAAAAACUCAACAAAGCUGACACUUAAAAAUAAAACACUUGAAAGUGAUAGGGACAAUGUGAAAUGAACUUAAAUUGUGACCCAAAACACUGAUUGUUUGACAUUGUUGCUAUAGGUCAGAUCUGUGGAUUUUAAGAUCAAGCCAAGGCAUUUCUUCUUUAGGCAACUUGAAUAGACCACCAAACGUACCUCUUAGUGCCCUCUCUGACGCAUCCUCUUCCACUCAGUCAUAGAGCGGUACACCACCUGCACUGAACUGGAAAGACUUGAACUGAUUGCACGUCCGCACUGACAUUUUUAUGUACAGUAUAUCUCUAUUGUAACUGGUCUUUGCUGCCAAUAAUGACAAUCUAACUAGGCCUUUUUUAGCUUCUAUAUGAGGAAAGAACAACACAAUGAAGUAGAGAGAUCAAUCAGGGUUCCCACUCUAAAUAAAAUGUAAAAUAAUAAAGUAUAAUGAUGUGCCCACCAUACAUAAUGCUUUAGUUGUUCAUGUAUAAACUCACAAAUAACAGACUAUUACUACUAUUAAACUUUAAAUAGUAAAUUCCUGAUGAUGCAUGAGAUAUGAAGGAAUGAAGUAAUACAUACAGUACAUCGUGAAUUAAUGAAAUAAAUAAAUGCAUAAAUUCACAAUAAUUCAUGUAGGCCUAUCUUACUGUAAAGUGUU
This is an RNA transcript of Sardina pilchardus (European sardine), 3012 nucleotides long. RefSeq lists it as uncharacterized. The transcript is spliced from 11 exons. NCBI's taxonomy places the organism in Eukaryota, Metazoa, Chordata, Actinopteri, Clupeiformes, Clupeidae. The record is from RefSeq and is a predicted model, not a curated record.